GACGAACCGUGCAAACGUUGCUCGGAAUCAUUGGGCGUAAAGCGCACGUAGGCGGCGAUCUAAGUCGGAUGUGAAAUCCCUCGGCUCAACCGAGGACGUGCAUCCGAAACUGGAUUGCUCGAGUAUGGAAGAGGGUCGCGGAAUUCUCGGUGUAGAGGUGAAAUUCGUAGAUAUCGGGAGGAACACCAGUGGCGAAGGCGGCGACCUGGGCCAAUACUGACGCUCAUGUGCGAAAGCGUGGGGAGCAAACAGG
Molecule: ribosomal RNA, 253 nt
Filed under: uncultured bacterium
Lineage: Bacteria
Description: partial 16S ribosomal RNA
Rfam family: Bacterial small subunit ribosomal RNA
Source: RNAcentral